UCGCUAGUAAUCGCGCAUCAGCCAUGGCGCGGUGAAUACGUUCCCGGGCCUUGUACACACCGCCCGUCAAGCCAUGGGAGCCGGGGGUGCCUGAAGUUCGUUACCGCAAGGAUCGACCUAGGGCAAAACUGGUGACUGGGGCUAAGUCGUAACAAGGUAAC
This 161-nucleotide ribosomal RNA is filed under the name uncultured bacterium. RNAcentral's name for it is "partial 16S ribosomal RNA". It matches the Rfam family "Bacterial small subunit ribosomal RNA", at positions 1332 to 1500 of the family's 1533-position model. The record is from RNAcentral.